Molecule: ribosomal RNA, 230 nt
Filed under: uncultured bacterium
Lineage: Bacteria
Description: partial 16S ribosomal RNA
Rfam family: Bacterial small subunit ribosomal RNA
Source: RNAcentral
UGAGUAACACGUAAGUAAUCUACCUUCGGAUGGGGAAUAACAGUCGGAAACGACUGCUAAUACCGCAUAAUGCAGCGGCACCUAAUGGUGACAGUUGUUAAAGUAUUUAUACGUCUGGAGAGGAGCUUGCGGCAGAUUAGCUAGUUGGUAAGGUAACGGCUUACCAAGGCUACGAUCUGUAACCGGUCUUAGAGGACGGUCGGUCACACUGACACUGAAUAACGGGUCAG